UGCAGUCGAACGAUGAUGCCCAGCUUGCUGGGUGGAUUAGUGGCGAACGGGUGAGUAACACGUGAGUAACCUGCCCCUGACUCUGGGAUAAGCGUUGGAAACGACGUCUAAUACUGGAUAUGAUCACUGGCCGCAUGGUCUGGUGGUGGAAAGAUUUUUUGGUUGGGGAUGGACUCGCGGCCUAUCAGCUUGUUGGUGAGGUAAUGGCUCACCAAGGCGACGACGGGUAGCCGGCCUGAGAGGGUGACCGGCCACACUGGGACUGAGACACGGCCCAGACUCCUACGGGAGGCAGCAGUGGGGAAUAUUGCACAAUGGGCGAAAGCCUGAUGCAGCAACGCCGCGUGAGGGAUGACGGCCUUCGGGUUGUAAACCUCUUUUAGUAGGGAAGAAGCGAAAGUGACGGUACCUGCAGAAAAAGCACCGGCUAACUACGUGCCAGCAGCCGCGGUAAUACGUAGGGUGCAAGCGUUGUCCGGAAUUAUUGGGCGUAAAGAGCUCGUAGGCGGUUUGUCGCGUCUGCUGUGAAAUCCCGAGGCUCAACCUCGGGCUUGCAGUGGGUACGGGCAGACUAGAGUGCGGUAGGGGAGAUUGGAAUUCCUGGUGUAGCGGUGGAAUGCGCAGAUAUCAGGAGGAACACCGAUGGCGAAGGCAGAUCUCUGGGCCGUAACUGACGCUGAGGAGCGAAAGCAUGGGGAGCGAACAGGAUUAGAUACCCUGGUAGUCCAUGCCGUAAACGUUGGGCGCUAGAUGUAGGGACCUUUCCACGGUUUCUGUGUCGUAGCUAACGCAUUAAGCGCCCCGCCUGGGGAGUACGGCCGCAAGGCUAAAACUCAAAGGAAUUGACGGGGGCCCGCACAAGCGGCGGAGCAUGCGGAUUAAUUCGAUGCAACGCGAAGAACCUUACCAAGGCUUGACAUACACCGGAAACGGCCAGAGAUGGUCGCCCCCUUGUGGUCGGUGUACAGGUGGUGCAUGGUUGUCGUCAGCUCGUGUCGUGAGAUGUUGGGUUAAGUCCCGCAACGAGCGC
This 1030-nucleotide ribosomal RNA is filed under the name Curtobacterium sp. RNAcentral's name for it is "bacterial SSU rRNA". It matches the Rfam family "Bacterial small subunit ribosomal RNA", at positions 56 to 1099 of the family's 1533-position model. The record is from RNAcentral. Lineage: Bacteria; Bacillati; Actinomycetota; Actinomycetes; Micrococcales; Microbacteriaceae.